CGGUAAUUCCAGCUCCAACAGCGUAUAUUAAAGUUGUUGCAGUUAAAAAGCUCGUAGUUGCGUUUCUGUUGGGAAGAAUCGUUCCUUGCCUCUGGCUUGGAUUCGUAUCGUCUCCUGACAUCCUUGGAUGGAGCCAUUCUGGCAUUAAGUUGUCGGGAUGAAGAUGCCCAUCAUUUACUGUGAAAAAAUUAGAGUGUUCAAAGCAGGCUUACGCCGGUGAAUAUAUUAGCAUGGGAUAAUAAGAUAGGACUUUGGUACUAUUUUGUUGGUUUGCGCACCAGAGUAAUGACGAAUAGAGACAGUUGGAAAUAUUCGUAUUCAGUUGUCAGAGGUGAAAUUCUUAGAUUUAUUGAAGACGAACUACUGCGAAAGCAUUUACCAAGGAUAUUUUCAUUAAUCAAGAACGAAAGUAUGAAGAUCGAAGAUGAUUAGAUACCAUCGUAGUCUAUACCAUAAACUAUGCCGACUCAGGAUAAGCAAGCGUUUACAUGACCUUGUCUGCACUGUAUGAGAAAUCAAAGUCUUUGGGUUCCGGAGAAAGUAUGAUCGCAAGGCUGAAACUUAAAGAAAUUGACGGAAAGACACCACCAGUAGUGGAACCUGCGGCUUAAUUUGACUCAACACAGGAAAACUCAUCAGAUCCAGACAUAGUGAGGAUUGACAGAUUGAGAGCUCUUUCUUGAUUCUAUGGGUGAUGGUGCAUGGCCGUUCUUAGUUGGUGGAGUGAUUUGUCUGGUUAAUUCCGUUAACAAACAAGACCCCAGCCUGCUAAAUAAUCACGCGAAUAAUUCUUUAUUGGCGGUGGUUUCUUAGAGAAACAUGGACUUUCAAAGUCCAGGAAGAUUGAGGCAAUAACAGGUCUGUGAUGCCCUUAGAUGUUCUGAACCGCACGCGUGUUACACUGAUGUAUUCAACGAGCAUAUAACCUUGGCCGAGAGGCCUAGGCAAUCUUGUUAACGUACAUCGUGAUAGAGAUAGAUCAUUGUAAUUAUUGAUCUUGAACGAGGAAUUCCUAGUAAACGCUGGUCAUCAACCAGCAUUGAUUACGUCCCUGCCCUUUGUACACACCGCCC
RNAcentral lists this ribosomal RNA (1073 nucleotides) under uncultured stramenopile. RNAcentral describes it as "SSU rRNA". It matches the Rfam family "Eukaryotic small subunit ribosomal RNA", at positions 577 to 1674 of the family's 1831-position model. The record is from RNAcentral.